Long non-coding RNA from Monodelphis domestica (gray short-tailed opossum), 580 nucleotides. RefSeq lists it as uncharacterized. The record is from RefSeq and is a predicted model, not a curated record. NCBI's taxonomy places the organism in Eukaryota, Metazoa, Chordata, Mammalia, Didelphimorphia, Didelphidae.
GAGAUUUAUCUGGAGGCUCUGAUCUUAUGAGUUUUGAAAAAUCAAAAGAAUGUGCCUUCAUGGAUGCUUUUCUGAAUAUGAACUUUGAGUGCUAGACAACCUGGUAACUGGAUUAUAAAAAGGAAAAACCAAGCCUGGUUGUUUAAAUUAAGAUUGCCAUCUUCCUAAUGAGUGUCUAGUCUCCUCUGCCUCAGAGGAAAAUUAAGCUCAAAGAACUGAAGAGAUAUGCCUAUGGUUGCACAGGUAGCAAGAAGCACAGCUGGAUUCAAACCCAGAUUCCCCCAGAUGCAUGUUCAUUGAAUUGUAAAUCUUUCAGUCAUGAAAGUAAUUCUUCCUGAAUUUGAUGCCACCAUCUGAAUAUGAAUUCCAAGUCAGCAGGAGUCUGAUGAAUACUGAGGGUUUGUCAUCAUGGCUCAGGUCUGCAUCAUUGGACUCAGGCAUCUCAAACUGAAAUUAUCUAAUUAAAUUUAUUCCAUUCUUAAGAUAAAACCUAUUAUAAGAUCCAUGUCUUACUGACUUGAAUGGUUUGUUUUUUCCUUCAUUUUUCUUAUGAGUUCAUCUGAACAAUCUCUACUAGAAU